Molecule: ribosomal RNA, 429 nt
Filed under: Bacteroidota bacterium
Lineage: Bacteria; Pseudomonadati; Bacteroidota
Description: Bacteroidetes bacterium partial 16S ribosomal RNA
Rfam family: Bacterial small subunit ribosomal RNA
Source: RNAcentral
UAGGGAAUCUUCGGCAAUGGGGGGAACCCUGACCGAGCAACGCCGCGUGAGUGAAGAAGGUUUUCGGAUCGUAAAGCUCUGUUGUUAAGGAAGAACGAGUGUGAGAAUGGAAAGUUCAUACUGUGACGGUACUUAACCAGAAAGGGACGGCUAACUACGUGCCAGCAGCCGCGGUAAUACGUAGGUCCCGAGCGUUGUCCGGAUUUAUUGGGCGUAAAGCGAUCGCAGGCGGUUAGUUAAGUCUGAAGUUAAAGGCAGUGGCUCAACCAUUGUAGGCUUUGGAAACUGUUUAACUUGAGUGCAGAAGGGGAGAGUGGAAUUCCAUGUGUAGCGGUGAAAUGCGUAGAUAUAUGGAGGAACACCGGUGGCGAAAGCGGCUCUCUGGUCUGUAACUGACGCUGAGGCUCGAAAGCGUGGGGAGCGAACAGG